This 757-nucleotide ribosomal RNA is filed under the name uncultured bacterium. RNAcentral's name for it is "bacterial SSU rRNA". It matches the Rfam family "Bacterial small subunit ribosomal RNA", at positions 28 to 776 of the family's 1533-position model. The record is from RNAcentral.
GAUGAACGCUAGCUACAGGCUUAACACAUGCAAGUCGAGGGGCAGCAUGGGAUUAGCCUGCUAAUCCUGAUGGCGACCGGCGCACGGGCGCGUAACGCGUAUCCAACCUGCCCUCCACUCCGGAACAGCCCGUCGAAAGGCGGAUUAAUGCCGGAUGGUGUCACAUGCCCGCAUGAGUGUGUGACUAAAGGCAACGGUAGAGGAUGGGGAUGCGACUGAUUAGCUAGUUGGCGGGGUAACGGCCCACCAAGGCUACGAUCAGUAGGGGUUCUGAGAGGAAGGUCCCCCACAUUGGAACUGAGACACGGUCCAAACUCCUACGGGAGGCAGCAGUGAGGAAUAUUGGUCAAUGGGCGAGAGCCUGAACCAGCCAAGUAGCGUGCGGGACGACGGCCCUAUGGGUUGUAAACCGCUUUUGAUUGGGAACAAAGAGGGCCACGUGUGGUGCGUUGCGUGUACCUUUCGAAUAAGCAUCGGCUAAUUCCGUGCCAGCAGCCGCGGUAAUACGGAAGAUGCGAGCGUUAUCCGGAUUUAUUGGGUUUAAAGGGAGCGUAGGCGGGCUGUUAAGUCAGCGGUGAAAUCCCCGCGCUCAACGCGGGAGUUGCCGUUGAUACUGUACAUCUGGAAUGCUCUUGCCGUGGGAGGAAUGAGUAGUGUAGCGGUGAAAUGCAUAGAUAUUACUCAGAACACCGAUUGCGAAGGCAUCUCACGAAGGGGCGAUUGACGCUGAGGCACGAAAGCGUGGGUAUCGAACAGG